GACGAACGCUGGCGGCGUGCUUAACACAUGCAAGUCGAACGGAAAGGCCCUGCUUUUGUGGGGUGCCCGAGUGGCGAACGGGGGAGUAACACGUGAGUAACCUGCCCUUGACUUUGGGAUAACUUCAGGAAACUGGGGCUAAUACCGGAUAGGAGCUCCCCCUGCAUGGUGGGGGUUGGAAAGUUUCGGCGGUUGGGGAUGGACUCGCGGCUUAUCAGCUUGUUGGUGGGGUAGUGGCUUACCAAGGCUUUGACGGGUAGCCGGCCUGAGAGGGUGACCGGCCACAUUGGGACUGAGAUACGGCCCAGACUCCUACGGGAGGCAGCAGUGGGGAAUAUUGCACAAUGGGCGGAAGCCUGAUGCAGCAACGCCGCGUGCGGGAUGACGGCCUUCGGGUUGUAAACCGCUUUCGCCUGUGACGAAGCGUGAGUGACGGUAAUGGGUAAAGAAGCACCGGCUAACUACGUG
RNAcentral lists this ribosomal RNA (468 nucleotides) under uncultured bacterium. RNAcentral describes it as "partial 16S ribosomal RNA". It matches the Rfam family "Bacterial small subunit ribosomal RNA", at positions 28 to 507 of the family's 1533-position model. The record is from RNAcentral.